Molecule: ribosomal RNA, 580 nt
Filed under: Marinobacter salarius
Lineage: Bacteria; Pseudomonadati; Pseudomonadota; Gammaproteobacteria; Pseudomonadales; Marinobacteraceae
Description: bacterial SSU rRNA
Rfam family: Bacterial small subunit ribosomal RNA
Source: RNAcentral
UGCAGUCGAGCGGUAACAGGGGGAGCUUGCUCCCCGCUGACGAGCGGCGGACGGGUGAGUAAUGCAUAGGAAACUGCCCAGUAGUGGGGGAUAGCCCGGGGAAACCCGGAUUAAUACCGCAUACGCCCUUUGGGGGAAAGCAGGGGAUCUUCGGACCUUGCGCUAUUGGAUGUGCCUAUGUCGGAUUAGCUAGUUGGUGGGGUAAGAGCCUACCAAGGCGACGAUCCGUAGCUGGUCUGAGAGGAUGAUCAGCCACAUCGGGACUGAGACACGGCCCGAACUCCUACGGGAGGCAGCAGUGGGGAAUAUUGGACAAUGGGGGCAACCCUGAUCCAGCCAUGCCGCGUGUGUGAAGAAGGCUUUCGGGUUGUAAAGCACUUUCAGUGAGGAGGAAAACCUUAAGUUUAAUACGCUUGAGGCUUGACGUUACUCACAGAAGAAGCACCGGCUAACUCCGUGCCAGCAGCCGCGGUAAUACCGAGGGUGCGAGCGUUAAUCGGAAUUACUGGGCGUAAAGCGCGCGUAGGUGGUUUGAUAAGCGAGAUGUGAAAGCCCCGGGCUCAACCUGGGGAACGGCAUU